AACGAACGCUGGCGGCAUUCCUAACACAUGCAAGUCGAACGAAGCCUUCGGGCUUAGUGGCGCACGGGUGCGUAACGCGUGGGAACCUGCCCCUUGGUUCGGAAUAACAGUUAGAAAUGACUGCUAAUACCGGAUGAUGACGAAAGUCCAAAGAUUUAUCGCCGAGGGAUGGGCCCGCGUAGGAUUAGCUAGUUGGUGAGGUAAUGGCUCACCAAGGCGACGAUCCUUAGCUGGUCUGAGAGGAUGAUCAGCCACACUGGGACUGAGACACGGCCCAGACUCCUACGGGAGGCAGCAGUGGGGAAUAUUGGACAAUGGGCGAAAGCCUGAUCCAGCAAUGCCGCGUGAGUGAUGAAGGCCUUAGGGUUGUAAAGCUCUUUUACCAGGGAUGAUAAUGACAGUACCUGGAGAAUAAGACUCCGGCUAACUCCGUGCCAGCAGCCGCGGUAA
RNAcentral lists this ribosomal RNA (450 nucleotides) under uncultured bacterium. Its description in RNAcentral is "bacterial SSU rRNA". It matches the Rfam family "Bacterial small subunit ribosomal RNA", at positions 29 to 523 of the family's 1533-position model. The record is from RNAcentral.